RNAcentral lists this non-coding RNA (21 nucleotides) under Arabidopsis thaliana (thale cress). Lineage: Eukaryota; Viridiplantae; Streptophyta; Magnoliopsida; Brassicales; Brassicaceae. The record is from RNAcentral.
UGUAGCGGCUACAUGUCUCCC